This 379-nucleotide unclassified non-coding RNA is filed under the name soil metagenome. RNAcentral's name for it is "partial contains 5.8S ribosomal RNA, internal transcribed spacer 2, and large subunit ribosomal RNA". The stretch from base 1 to 120 matches the Rfam family "5.8S ribosomal RNA", at positions 35 to 154 of the family's 154-position model. The record is from RNAcentral.
GAUGAAGAACGCAGCGAAAUGCGAUAAGUAAUGUGAAUUGCAGAAUUCAGUGAAUCAUCGAAUCUUUGAACGCACCUUGCACCCUUUGGCAUUCCGAAGGGUAUGCUCGUUUGAGUGUCAUUGUACUCUCGCACUUCCAAUCUUUGGAUUGGGAGCGGUGGACUUGGGUGUUGCUGCUUACUGUGGCCCACCUCAAAUCGAUUCGUGCACCUCUUGGUUGGACAUAGUACGGCGUGAUAAGUGUCUUCGCCGGCACCUCAGUAGAGGGUGGCUGAUCAGGAGCUCUGUGCUUCAAACCGUCCUCGGACAACAACUGACAACUUGACCUCAAAUCGAGUAGGACUACCCGCUGAACUUAAGCAUAUCAAUAAGCGGAGGA